RNAcentral lists this ribosomal RNA (546 nucleotides) under Botryosphaeria dothidea. RNAcentral's name for it is "eukaryotic LSU rRNA". The stretch from base 194 to 347 matches the Rfam family "5.8S ribosomal RNA". Lineage: Eukaryota; Fungi; Ascomycota; Dothideomycetes; Botryosphaeriales; Botryosphaeriaceae. The record is from RNAcentral.
GGAAGGAUCAUUACCGAGUUGAUUCGGGCUCCGGCCCGAUCCUCCCACCCUUUGUGUACCUACCUCUGUUGCUUUGGCGGGCCGCGGUCCUCCGCGGCCGCCCCCCUCCCCGGGGGGGUGGCCAGCGCCCGCCAGAGGACCAUCAAACUCCAGUCAGUAAACGAUGCAGUCUGAAAAACAUUUAAUAAACUAAAACUUUCAACAACGGAUCUCUUGGUUCUGGCAUCGAUGAAGAACGCAGCGAAAUGCGAUAAGUAAUGUGAAUUGCAGAAUUCAGUGAAUCAUCGAAUCUUUGAACGCACAUUGCGCCCUUUGGUAUUCCGAAGGGCAUGCCUGUUCGAGCGUCAUUACAACCCUCAAGCUCUGCUUGGUAUUGGGCACCGUCCUUUGCGGGCGCGCCUCAAAGACCUCGGCGGUGGCGUCUUGCCUCAAGCGUAGUAGAACAUACAUCUCGCUUCGGAGCGCAGGGCGUCGCCCGCCGGACGAACCUUCUGAACUUUUCUCAAGGUUGACCUCGGAUCAGGUAGGGAUACCCGCUGAACUUAA